RNAcentral lists this RNase P RNA (350 nucleotides) under Gammaproteobacteria bacterium. Its description in RNAcentral is "RNase P RNA component class A". It matches the Rfam family "Bacterial RNase P class A". Rfam says of the family: Ribonuclease P (RNase P) is a ubiquitous endoribonuclease, found in archaea, bacteria and eukarya as well as chloroplasts and mitochondria. Its best characterised activity is the generation of mature 5'-ends of tRNAs by cleaving the 5'-leader elements of precursor-tRNAs. The record is from RNAcentral. Lineage: Bacteria; Pseudomonadati; Pseudomonadota; Gammaproteobacteria.
UGAGCUGGUCCAGGCAAUCGCGCGUUCGCUUCCUGGCGAACGUGAGGAAAGUCCGGGCUCCACAGGACAGGGCGCCAGGUAAUCCCUGGGGGGCGUGAGCCCACGGAAAGUGCAGCAGAGAGCAGACCGCCGCGCUGAAAGGCGUGGCAAGGGUGAAACGGUGCGGUAAGAGCGCACCGCGAGCGUUGGCAACAACCUCGGCUAGGCAAACCCCGCCCGGAGCAAGGCCAAAUAGGAGUCAUGGCGCGGUCCGCGUCCGACUCGGGUAGGCUGCUUCAGGCGACCGGUGACGGUCGUCGCAGAUGAAUGAUUGCCCACGACAGAACCCGGCUUAUGGACCGGCUCACCAC